This 397-nucleotide ribosomal RNA is filed under the name uncultured bacterium. Its description in RNAcentral is "partial 16S ribosomal RNA". It matches the Rfam family "Bacterial small subunit ribosomal RNA", at positions 523 to 918 of the family's 1533-position model. The record is from RNAcentral.
AUACGUAGGUGGCAAGCGUUGUCCGGAAUUAUUGGGCGUAAAGCGCGCGCAGGUGGUUCCUUAAGUCUGAUGUGAGAGCCCCCGGCUCAACCGGGGAGGGUCAUUGGAAACUGGGGAACUUGAGUGCAGAAGAGGAUAGUGGAAUUCCAAGUGUAGCGGUGAAAUGCGUAGAGAUUUGGAGGAACACCAGUGGCGAAGGCGACUGUCUGGUCUGUAACUGACACUGAGGCGCGAAAGCGUGGGGAGCAAACAGGAUUAGAUACCCUGGUAGUCCACGCCGUAAACGAUGAGUGCUAAGUGUUGGGGGGUUUCCGCCCCUCAGUGCUGCAGCUAACGCAUUAAGCACUCCGCCUGGGGAGUACGGUCGCAAGACUGAAACUCAAAGGAAUUGACGGGG